Molecule: ribosomal RNA, 698 nt
Filed under: Vibrio alginolyticus
Lineage: Bacteria; Pseudomonadati; Pseudomonadota; Gammaproteobacteria; Vibrionales; Vibrionaceae
Description: bacterial SSU rRNA
Rfam family: Bacterial small subunit ribosomal RNA
Source: RNAcentral
GAACGAGUUAUCUGAACCUUCGGGGGACGAUAACGGCGUCGAGCGGCGGACGGGUGAGUAAUGCCUAGGAAAUUGCCCUGAUGUGGGGGAUAACCAUUGGAAACGAUGGCUAAUACCGCAUGAUGCCUACGGGCCAAAGAGGGGGACCUUCGGGCCUCUCGCGUCAGGAUAUGCCUAGGUGGGAUUAGCUAGUUGGUGAGGUAAGGGCUCACCAAGGCGACGAUCCCUAGCUGGUCUGAGAGGAUGAUCAGCCACACUGGAACUGAGACACGGUCCAGACUCCUACGGGAGGCAGCAGUGGGGAAUAUUGCACAAUGGGCGCAAGCCUGAUGCAGCCAUGCCGCGUGUAUGAAGAAGGCCUUCGGGUUGUAAAGUACUUUCAGUCGUGAGGAAGGUGGUAGUGUUAAUAGCGCUAUCAUUUGACGUUAGCGACAGAAGAAGCACCGGCUAACUCCGUGCCAGCAGCCGCGGUAAUACGGAGGGUGCGAGCGUUAAUCGGAAUUACUGGGCGUAAAGCGCAUGCAGGUGGUUUGUUAAGUCAGAUGUGAAAGCCCGGGGCUCAACCUCGGAAUAGCAUUUGAAACUGGCAGACUAGAGUACUGUAGAGGGGGGUAGAAUUUCAGGUGUAGCGGUGAAAUGCGUAGAGAUCUGAAGGAAUACCGGUGGCGAAGGCGGCCCCCUGGACAGAUACUGACACU